This 272-nucleotide ribosomal RNA is filed under the name uncultured bacterium. RNAcentral's name for it is "partial 16S ribosomal RNA". It matches the Rfam family "Bacterial small subunit ribosomal RNA", at positions 222 to 507 of the family's 1533-position model. The record is from RNAcentral.
GGGAGUGGCCCGCGUACGAUUAGAUUGUUGGUGAGGCAACGGCUCACCAAGUCGACGAUCGUUAACUGGUCUGAGAGGAUGAUCAGUCAGACUGGAACUGAGACACGGUCCAGACUCCUACGGGAGGCAGCAGUAAGGAAUCUUCCACAAUGGGCGAAAGCCUGAUGGAGCAACGCCGCGUGCAGGAUGAAGGCCCUCGGGUCGGUAAACUAGCUUUUAUUGAGGUGAAGAAUAUGACGGUAACUCAUGAAUAAGCACCGGCUAACUACGUG